GAGGCGAUACAAUUAUGGAGAAAGGAGGAGGGGUAAACCUCUUAUAGCUACACAAAUGUUGUUCGGUUAAAAGCAAAAUACAAAUUUAUAACUGACAAUAUAAAAAGCCCCGUUCUUUAUUGUAGAUUUAAAUUUUAAUUCGAGCAAAUUCGAGCUACAACACGUCCUCAUCAGCUUCUAACAUUGGAGAUGUACUACGAGUCAGCUGUUCAUUACUAGUGAACGCCUCAUAUUUUCGAGCACCUUCUUGACUAUUCGAGCGGUUCCAAGCAGUGCUGUUUUCUGCAAGUGUUACACCCUUAUUGCAACCCCUAUUUGUUCCACUGUUCCCAAGGCUCAGACAAAUAUUGGUACUACUAUUACCUUUUUCAUCGACCACAACUGCUUAACCUUCCAAGUCAUCUAACCGCGGCCAUGCUGGAACACUGCCUUCAAGAAUUUUUCAGUCGAAUGAAUCACACCCAGCACUUAUUUUUUUGUAAGCCUUCUACUUACUCUAUCUGUCUAAUGGCAAAUGAAACGGGAGGAAACUGAGAAGAGACUCUUGAGUUUUGGUCUUGUAUGAAAUAACAAGUAUUUAGUAAGAUCCUUCCGGAGCCGCACACUUUAUUCACCGUUCUUUCUAUUCAUGGAAGCAUUCCUGGAACUCCCUUUUGGGGGAUAGCGAGCAGCUGCCUCAUUGCAUUCUCUUGGCUUUCCUCGACAUCUUGAACAUUUUCCCUUUCAAGUGAGAUUUGAUUUUUGCUUUGGUUUCGGGGGUCAUAUCCACAGACCCAUUAGUCAUCACCUGAAGCAACCUGCUCCCAGUGAAGUCUUGAUGAAGGACGGUGUAGGAUAUGCAGUAUCAGAAGAAAACAAGUCGAUUAUGAAGGUAGCAACAAUCGCAAGAAUAAUGUGCGCAGAGAGAUGAAGAGGUUUAAGUAGAAGGAAACAAGCAGUGAACACAAACCACGCAGUGAGAAAUCAUCAACUGUACCCCUUGAUAUGAACCGCCCAUGUAUGGACAGAUUCGCGUAAGCAGACGUACCAUAACUGAACUCUGAUCACAAAUGAAUUGAAGAAGACGAUCCAAGAUUUUGGGUAUCAGAAAAUCAUUGCAAAUCGGUUAAUUUUGCAUUUGGCAACAGAUUUACAGGUGCAAAGAGAGGAAUUGUACUCUGGCGUCCAGGAAUUAUUUGAAGGCAAUGUAGACCAGUCUUUUAUCAUCUGGUUUGUUGAAUAGGCUACAUCUAUGGUACCUUGUUUAAUUAUAAUGUUACUUAAUAAAUUAAAAUCAAAUAAAUUUCAAUAGUCAAAUUUUAUCCCCAGCUGCAAUAUUUUAAGUAAAAAUGUUCUUGUUCUGUACGUUACCGGAUGUAAUAACUUAUCUUGUAAUUUUCCAGGUUCAUAAUAUAAAAAAUAUUAUUUCUCUUGCUCGCAUUUUUCCAUGUAAUCCAUGUUUUUUCCAGGUUAUGCUGUUAUGCUAAUUAAUAAUGUGUCAAAUGUGUCAAUUAGCGGUGUGGUUGAUAAUCUUUUCCUUACCACAAUGAUGCCGUUGACACACAUUAAAAGUUCCCUUACAGAACUAUAUUCAUUAAAAAAGUAUAGAACUAUAUUACCGCCCUCAAAUUUGAGAAACAAGCACUUAUAACUUUUUUCUUUUAAAACUUCAUUGCAUGUGACUGAUACCAUGAAAUUCCUCGAAUUGAGCUCUAUC
This is a long non-coding RNA of Octopus bimaculoides (California two-spot octopus), 1696 nucleotides long. RefSeq lists it as uncharacterized. NCBI's taxonomy places the organism in Eukaryota, Metazoa, Mollusca, Cephalopoda, Octopoda, Octopodidae. The record is from RefSeq and is a predicted model, not a curated record.